Long non-coding RNA from Osmerus eperlanus (European smelt), 544 nucleotides. RefSeq lists it as uncharacterized. Lineage: Eukaryota; Metazoa; Chordata; Actinopteri; Osmeriformes; Osmeridae. The transcript has 4 exons. The record is from RefSeq and is a predicted model, not a curated record.
UCUGAAGUGCUUUGCGAGCACCCGUUUGUGGCAUUUUAACAGGACGGAUCUUCAGUAUUUUCAGUAUGGAAUUACGCCUUGACCUUCAUCAAUCGCCUGUCAAUCAAAAUGUGACAUCCUUGGUUACGGCGCUGACAAGUGACGUCCAUUGCUUUAGAAGUUGGCGAUUCAUCUGUCAUCUCUCUUUAACAUUGACCUCCAUAUUCUAUUUGUCUACUUGUCUGCCUCUCGUCUCAUUGCCUGUUGUCCAUCUGUCUGUCUGUCUUCCUGUACUGUAUAUUUAUUGUCUGUCUGCCUUGUCCUUUUGUCCGUCUGUGUGCCCGCCAUUUCUGGCCCGCCCCAACGGUUCUUUUAAGAACCAAAGUUCUGCUGUCAAUAUGGCUUCAAAGAAAGCUGCUGAGGAUGCUCAUCUUAGGGAGCUUCUGAAACAAGGUCAAGCUUAUGCCAAGGACCUUAAUCCUGAACCGGCUAAGAACAAAAAGAGGACCACAAAAAACAGGUUCAGGAUUAGUUGGAGAAAGAGAGAUGUGCGGGGAGCAUUAGU